Molecule: ribosomal RNA, 493 nt
Filed under: uncultured bacterium
Lineage: Bacteria
Description: partial 16S ribosomal RNA
Rfam family: Bacterial small subunit ribosomal RNA
Source: RNAcentral
GACGAACGCUGGCGGCGUGCUUAACACAUGCAAGUCGAACGGUGAAGCGCCUUCCUUUUUGGUGGGUGUGGAUGAGUGGCGAACGGGUGAGUAACACGUGAGUAACCUGCCCCCUUCUUCUGGAUAACCGCAUGAAAGUGUGGCUAAUACGGGAUAUUCUGGGUCUGUCGCAUGAUGGGUCUGGGAAAGAUAUUGUUUCGGUGGGGGAUGGGCUCGCGGCCUAUCAGCUUGUUGGUGGGGUGAUGGCCUACCAAGGCGGUGACGGGUAGCCGGCCUGAGAGCGUGGACGCUCACACUGGGACUGAGACACGGCCCAGCCUCCUACGGGAGGCAGCAGUGGCGAAUAUUGCACAAUGGGCGCAAGCCUGAUGCCGCGACGCCGCGUGAGGGAUGGAGGCCUUCGGGUUGUGACCCUCUUUCGCCAGUGAAGCAGGCCUGCCUCGUUUGUGGGUGGGUUGACGGUAGCUGGAUAAGAAACGCCGGCGAACUACGU